AGCAGCGUGGCUUAGUGGAAAGAGCACGGGCUUGGGAUUCAGAGGACAUGGGUUCUAAUCCCAACUCUGCCA
Ornithorhynchus anatinus (platypus) is the source of this 72-nucleotide non-coding RNA. The record is from Rfam. NCBI's taxonomy places the organism in Eukaryota, Metazoa, Chordata, Mammalia, Monotremata, Ornithorhynchidae.